This 492-nucleotide ribosomal RNA is filed under the name uncultured bacterium. RNAcentral's name for it is "partial 16S ribosomal RNA". It matches the Rfam family "Bacterial small subunit ribosomal RNA", at positions 29 to 507 of the family's 1533-position model. The record is from RNAcentral.
AGUGAACGCUGGCGGUAGGCCUAACACAUGCAAGUCGAACGGCAGCACAGUAAGAGCUUGCUCUUACGGGUGGCGAGUGGCGGACGGGUGAGGAAUACAUCGGAAUCUACUUUUUCGUGGGGGAUAACGUAGGGAAACUUACGCUAAUACCGCAUACGACCUACGGGUGAAAGCAGGGGAUCUUCGGACCUUGCGCGAUUGAAUGAGCCGAUGUCGGAUUAGCUAGUUGGCGGGGUAAAGGCCCACCAAGGCGACGAUCCGUAGCUGGUCUGAGAGGAUGAUCAGCCACGCUGGAACUGAGACACGGUCCAGACUCCUACGGGAGGCAGCAGUGGGGAAUAUUGGACAAUGGGCGAAAGCCUGAUCCAGCCAUACCGCGUGGGUGAAGAAGGCCUUCGGGUUGUAAAGCCCUUUUGUUGGGAAAGAAAAGCAGCAGGUUAAUACCCCGCUGUUCUGACGGUACCCAAAGAAUAAGCACCGGCUAACUUCGUG